This 257-nucleotide ribosomal RNA is filed under the name uncultured Scutellospora. RNAcentral describes it as "partial 18S ribosomal RNA". It matches the Rfam family "Eukaryotic small subunit ribosomal RNA", at positions 624 to 886 of the family's 1831-position model. The record is from RNAcentral. Lineage: Eukaryota; Fungi; Glomeromycota; Glomeromycetes; Diversisporales; Gigasporaceae.
AAGCUCGUAGUUGAAUUUCGUGGUUCUACCGUUGGUCGGGCUAACAAGUCUGUACUAGCGUGCAGAAUCUCUACCUUCUGGGGAACCAUCAUGUUAUUAAUUUAGCGUGGUGGGAAACCAGGACCUUUACCUUGAAAAAAUUAGAGUGUUCAAAGCAGGCUUACGUCUGAAUACAUUAGCAUGGAAUAAUAAAAUAGGACGGUGGUCCUGUUUUGUUGGUUUCUGAAUCACCGUAAUGAUUAAUAGGGAUAGUUGGG